GUUAAGGGAAUAUAAUCCCACAUCGGUAAAAUACCGAAAUAAUGACCAAUAUAUAAAGAAUUGGGACACUCCUCUUAACAAGGUUGACCUUAUUAAGAUGGACCCCAAGUCUUUAAAAUGGUAUCAGAGCCCAUUAAGCUCCAACGAGCGAUUCGAUCCGAUUAAGUCUCUAAAAAUGAGCACACGGAUUUCAAGAUUGGUCUGCUCAAACGAGCCACCAUCUUGCGGGGGCAUGUUAAGG
Molecule: long non-coding RNA, 241 nt
Filed under: Olea europaea (common olive)
Lineage: Eukaryota; Viridiplantae; Streptophyta; Magnoliopsida; Lamiales; Oleaceae
Description: long non-coding RNA (OEUR_LNC009564)
Source: RNAcentral